AUACGGAGGAUGCGAGCGUUAUCCGGAUUCAUUGGGUUUAAAUGGUGCGGCUCAACCGUGCCCUGCCGUUGAAACUGGGUUUCUUGAGAGUGCAAGAGGCGGAUGGAAUUCAUGGUGUAGCGGUGAAAUGCUUAGAUAUCAUGAAGAACUCCGAUUGCGAAGGCAGUCCGCUGGGGCACGUCUGACGCUGAUGCUCGAAGGUGCGGGAAUCAAACAGGAUUAGAUACCCUGGUAGUCCGCACGGUAAACGAUGAUUACCCGCUGUCGGCGGCAGACAGUCGGCGGCCAAGCGAAAGCGAUAAGUAAUCCACCUGGGGAGUACGCCGGCAACGGUGAAACUCAAAUGAAUUGGCGGGG
Molecule: ribosomal RNA, 357 nt
Filed under: uncultured bacterium
Lineage: Bacteria
Description: partial 16S ribosomal RNA
Rfam family: Bacterial small subunit ribosomal RNA
Source: RNAcentral